RNAcentral lists this long non-coding RNA (799 nucleotides) under Marmota monax (woodchuck). The record is from RNAcentral. Lineage: Eukaryota; Metazoa; Chordata; Mammalia; Rodentia; Sciuridae.
AGAAAAGUAUCACCUCCUCCUGUUCCUCUUCUUUCUGUUUUUUUAAAAUUAGUAAAUGAUGUGCCUAUGUCUUGAUUAUCUGUUGUGUUUUGUGAUAGUGGUAGGUUAGAAAAAUGGAAACUGGAAGAAGGGAAACAAAGUUUCCUCUUUUAUAUCAUAAGUGAAACAGUAGUUAUAAAUAUAAAAUCCAAUGGUAAUUUGACUGAGAGAUAUAUCAGACCUAGCCAAUUCUUUGUUUCAAUCUUCACAGUGAGAAAUUCCGAACAGCUGCCAGGAAGCAACACACUCUCUGUUUCUCAGGGGAGGAAGAAGGAAAACUAAAGGAACAAAGGACCGUGCCUGGACAGAUGAUGAAGCAAUUAGACUAUUGUGAAAUCUAAAAGAACCGCAGUAUCAGAACAAUUGAAUGAGAAAGUAAAUUACUGAAUGUAAAGCACUAUACAUACUUUGGAAAGAUUUGGAGUAUAUAAGAAAGAAAGAAGCCAUUUUGGAAUCUUAAUGUAAGAUAAGGAGUAAAAUAAACCUGUACUUUUUUUUUUUCUGUCAAUCUCUCUCCUGAUUUCCUUGUUUCCCAUCAUGUUGGAGGUCAGUGAGAAGAGUCAACAUGGACCAUUUUUCAUGAAGGUGGCCACUAGUCACCCAGAAUGUCACUAUCUUUUAUUCAGUACUUUGAAAAAUGUACUUAAAUAAAUAAAUGAACACCCCAUUUCAAUUGAGUCAUUUAGUGGGAGUCACAAGGUGAGAGGCCACAGUAUAGACUAAGCCACAUCACUGGUCCCUUGAAAAAGUAAGAGUGGAA